UUACGGCCAUAUCACGUUGAAACACCGGUUCCUGUACGAUCACCGAAGUUAAGCAACGUCGAUCAUGGUCAAUACCUAGACGGGUGACCGCUUGGUAAUACUAGGUACUGUAAG
Molecule: ribosomal RNA, 114 nt
Filed under: Acanthosepion pharaonis
Lineage: Eukaryota; Metazoa; Mollusca; Cephalopoda; Sepiida; Sepiidae
Source: RNAcentral